CACGUAGGACGCAAGCGUUAUCCGGAAUUACUGGGCGUAAAGCGCGUGUAGGCGGUUGUCCAAGUUGGAUGUGAAAGCCUUGAGCUUAACUCAAGAAAUGCAUUCAGGACUGGAUGACUAGAGGACCGGAGAGGAUAGUGGAAUUCCCAGUGUAGUGGUGAAAUACGUAGAGAUUGGGAAGAACACCAGUGGCGAAGGCGGCUAUCUGGACGGUUUCUGACGCUAAGACGCGAAAGCGUGGGGAGCAAACAGG
This 253-nucleotide ribosomal RNA is filed under the name uncultured bacterium. Its description in RNAcentral is "partial 16S ribosomal RNA". It matches the Rfam family "Bacterial small subunit ribosomal RNA", at positions 524 to 776 of the family's 1533-position model. The record is from RNAcentral.